AAGAAACCUCUGUGGAAUCUCCAAGGGCACAGAAUGUUCCCAUUUCUUACUCUGCGGGAACAGAUGAGACUACAAAUUAUUUUGCCAAAAAUAUAUUUAAGAGCUGGUUAACAUUGUUGCGUUCACCUUCACCGAAUCAAGUUACAAAUCAAACUGUGGAAGAGCCAUAUACCAUGGAAACUUCAGAAACACAAAAGAUGAUACAAGAGAAAGAAAGAGUUCAUGUCUUGAAGGCUGUCUGGUGCUUCUUUCUGAGUUUGGAUGCAACAAUAAAGAUACCUGUAUUGACAUUUGUUCCCCUGUAUCUUGCUGUUACUUUAGUAUAUGGAGCGGAAGUAUCUAAAGAAUUGACCCCUCUGUGGAUUCUUGGACCAUUGAUUGUUGCUUUGUAUGUUAAGAUGCUACGGGGCAUUUGUGCACUCUAUGUAUUCAGCUUCAAGCAGACGGUUAAUGUGGUCAAGAACUUGCCUACGUAUUCCUUGUUAGCUUAUGACUAUAUUGUUCGUGGGAAGCUUAAAGAAUAUAUUAGAAUGCGUUUACUGCAACCGUUCAUAGAUAUAAAGAACUUGGACUACAAAGAGGCAGCAAAAAGAAAGGCAAAGGAUAUAGAAGUGUACUUGGUGGAGAAGUACCUGGACUUUGUUGAAUCGAUAUGGCCAUAUUACUGCAGGACCAUCAGGUUUCUGAAGAGGGCAAAUUUAAUCUAGGUCUAAAACUAUUAUAAUUUUGCACAAUAUUCUGUCAACGGAAAAGCACAUUCAAAUGCGGAAUAUUUUUUUGUUUAGUCUUCUCCUUUACUUCUUUUUGUAUAAUUUUUUGUAAGCAGU
This 827-nucleotide unclassified non-coding RNA is filed under the name Hevea brasiliensis (rubber tree). Lineage: Eukaryota; Viridiplantae; Streptophyta; Magnoliopsida; Malpighiales; Euphorbiaceae. The record is from RNAcentral.